Molecule: long non-coding RNA, 521 nt
Filed under: Oryzias javanicus (javanese ricefish)
Lineage: Eukaryota; Metazoa; Chordata; Actinopteri; Beloniformes; Adrianichthyidae
Description: lncRNA (ENSOJAG00000017117.1)
Source: RNAcentral
GGGAAGGAGGUCACAAAGAGAUUGAGGGAGGGACCAACAAGAGCAGGAGGGGAAAUGAGUGAGCAUUUGGCUUUUUCUGUCAGCUGAGGCCAGCGCUGGGAGACUACAGCCGCAAACUGUUCAAUUCUGUGGAAGUUUUUUGUUGAGACACCGGGAUGGUGUGAAAAAAAGACAAGGAAUUCCUUCAAGCUGAUUCCAGGGUACAAUCAUGGAGGAAAUGGACUUUGAGCGUCGCCGGGAGCUGAGGAGACAGAAGCGCGAGGAGAUGCGCCUGGAAGCAGAACGGAUGGCCAAGCAUGAUGAUGAUGAGGAGGAGGCUGCCCGCGAGAGGAGGCGCAGGGCACGCCAGGAGAGGCUGAGGAGCAGGGACAGCGAGGAGCCCUGCAGCCAGCCAGAUAGUCUGGUCAUGACCAACAGCCACAGGUGACCUAAGGGACGACCUUAAUGCCUUUAUUUAUUUAUUAACAUUUAACCACAAUUGCACACAAGCAACCCACUCCAUGCUGCUGUCAGCGGGAUUA